CCUACGGGAGGCAGCAGUGAGGAAUAUUGGUCAAUGGGCGCGAGCCUGAACCAGCCAAGUCGCGUGAGGGAGGACGGCCCUACGGGUUGUAAACCUCUUUUGUCGGGGAGCAACGGGCGUCACGUGUGGCGCCACUGAGAGUCCCCGGAGAAAAAGCACCGGUUAAUUCGGUGCCAGCAGCCGCGGUAAUACGGAGGAUGCGAGCGUUAUCCGGAUUUAUUGGGUUUAAAGGGUGCGUAGGCGGAUCGUUAAGUCAGGGGUAAAAUUGAGGGGCUCAACCCCUGCCCGCCGUUGAAACUGGCGCGCUUGAGUGGGAGAGAAGUAUGCGGAAUGCGUGGUGUAGCGGUGAAAUGCAUAGAUAUCACGCAGAACCCCGAUUGCGAAGGCAGCAUGCCGGCUUCCGACUGACGCUGAAGCACGAAAGCGUGGGGAUCGAACAGGAUUAGAUACCCGAGUAGUC
Molecule: ribosomal RNA, 460 nt
Filed under: uncultured bacterium
Lineage: Bacteria
Description: partial 16S ribosomal RNA
Rfam family: Bacterial small subunit ribosomal RNA
Source: RNAcentral